AUGUCGAUGUCGGGGGCGGACUUCAACGGCGUGGGCGAGGACCCCAGGAUCUUCCGCAACAUCUGCCGCGACCGGAUACUCAAGGAUAUGCUGAAGCCGGACAAGGACAAGGAGAACAAGAGCGCGUGGAAGGUUCUUAUCAUGGAUAAAUUUACGGUGAGGAUCAUGGGUUAUGCUUGCAAGAUGGCAGAAAUCACCGAUGCAGGGGUUUCGUUGGUGGAAGAUUUGUUCAAGCGAAGGGAGCCGAUGCCUUCAAUGGAUGUGAUCUACUUUGUACAACCACUGAAAGAAAAUGUCAUAAUGCUUCUAUCCGACAUGUCUGGGAGAUGUCCACUGUACAGGAAGGCAUACAUCUUCUUCAGCUCACCAAUUCCCAAGGAGCUGGUGACUUACAUUAAGAACGACAGCAGUGUGAUACCACGCAUUGGUGCACUAAGAGAGAUGAAUUUGGAGUUUUUUGCUAUUGACAUGCAGGGGUUUGUAACUGACCAUGACAUGGCACUGACCGACUUAUAUGGUGCAAAUGACCAUAAUUCAAAAAAAUUCAACGACACCAUAAGCACUAUGGCUUGCCGCAUAGCUACCACAUUUGCAUCGUUGAAGGAAUUUCCUACCGUGCGGUAUCGAGCACCUAAAAGUGCAAACCCAUCAACAGCACCAAAAUUUGACAUGGUUCCAAAAUGGCUGGCUAACGCUACUUGGGAAAUCGUGUCAAAAUAUAAGUCCACAAUUCCAGAAUUUCCCCAGAAGGAGACAUGUGAAUUGCUUAUUCUGGACAGACCUAUAGAUCAGAUAGCACCUGUUAUUCAUGAAUGGACCUAUGAUGCAAUGUGCCAUGAUCUACUCGAAAUGGACGGCAACAAAUACAUAUAUGAGGUAUCAAAAGGGGAUUCAGAACCUGAAAAGAAGGAAGCUUUAUUGGAGGAUCAAGAUCCUCUCUGGAUAGAGCUUCGCCAUACUCACAUAGCUGAUGCCAGUGAGAGGUUGUAUGAGAAGAUGAAUACCUUUGUAUCAAAGAAUAAAGCAGCACAACUUCAUUCAAGAGAUGGUGGUGAAAUCUCAACCACAGAUCUGCAAAGGAUUGUUCAAGCUUUGCCACAGUACGGUGAGCAAGUUGAUAAAUUGACCCUCCACAUAGAUAUUGCAGGAAAAAUCAACAGGUGCAUCAGGGAGUACGGGCUCCGUGACCUUGGGCAGUUGGAGCAGGAUCUGGUUUUUGGAGAUGCAGGAGCAAAGGAGGUGAUCAAUAUGCUCAGGUCAAAGCAGAAUUUGAGUGAAGAAAACAAAUUGAGACUGUUGAUUAUAUAUGCAAUUGUAUGUCCCGACAAGUUUGAAGGUGACAAAGGGGACAAGUUGAUGCAGCUAGCGAAACUUCCAUCAGAUGAUAUGAAGGCCAUAAACAGCUUAAGAUAUUUGGUUAGUUCAGAUGCAAAAAAGGAUGCACGGGCUGGCGGUUUCUCUCUCAAAUUUGAUGCCCAAAAGAAAAAAAAUACUGGUGUUCGGACAGAGCGGCAGGAUGGUGAGGAAGGCUGGGCGUUAUCACGUUUUUUCCCACUUAUAGAGGAGCUGGUCGAGAAACUGAGCAAAGGUGAAUUACCUCUAAACGAAUACCCAUCUUUAAGUGAAUCAAGUUCUACUUCUCAAGGGACCGCGGAAGGUGCAUCGGCGCCAAAACCAGCACAAAAUCCACAGCCCAUGUCCAGGAGAUCACGGCGCACACCACAGUGGGCUAAGGGUCGUAACUCUGAUGAUAGUCAAUCAAGCGACUCUUCCGUGUUGAGACAUGCAUCAGGUGAUUUCAAGAGGCUAGGGAACCGAAUAUUUGUCUUCAUGAUUGGUGGAGCAACCCGAUCUGAACUAAGGGUGGCGCACAAGCUAACCAUGAAGUUGAAGAGAGAAAUCGUCCUCGGGUCCUCUAGCAUCGAUAAUCCUCCACAGUUUAUUUCGAAGCUGAAGGCGCUAGGACCAUCCUAG
Molecule: ribosomal RNA, 1974 nt
Filed under: Triticum aestivum (bread wheat)
Lineage: Eukaryota; Viridiplantae; Streptophyta; Magnoliopsida; Poales; Poaceae
Description: partial small subunit ribosomal RNA
Source: RNAcentral